AACGAACGUUAGCGGCGCGCCUAACACAUGCAAGUCGAGCGAGAAAGGGAGCAAUCCCCGGUACAGCGGCGCACGGGUGAGUAACACGUAGGUAACCUACCCUCGAAUGGUGGAUAACCUUCCGAAAGGAGGGCUAAUACAGCAUGAGCCCACGAGGUCAAGAGACCAUGGGGGAAAAGCCGGCCUCUUCAUGAAAGCUGGUGUUCGAGGAUGGGCCUGCGGCCCAUCAGCUAGUUGGUGGGGUAAUGGCUCACCAAGGCUAAGACGGGUAGCUGGUCUGAGAGGAUGAUCAGCCACACUGGAACUGAGACACGGUCCAGACUCCUACGGGAGGCAGCAGGUGGGGAAUCUUGCGCAAUGGGCGAAAGCCUGACGCAGCGACGCCGCGUGAGUGAUGAAGGCCUUCGGGUUGUAAAGCUC
Molecule: ribosomal RNA, 420 nt
Filed under: uncultured bacterium
Lineage: Bacteria
Description: bacterial SSU rRNA
Rfam family: Bacterial small subunit ribosomal RNA
Source: RNAcentral